Molecule: long non-coding RNA, 2389 nt
Filed under: Nicotiana tabacum (common tobacco)
Lineage: Eukaryota; Viridiplantae; Streptophyta; Magnoliopsida; Solanales; Solanaceae
Description: long non-coding RNA (NTAB_LNC001459)
Source: RNAcentral
UUUUGGGGUUUCAUACCCUCAGGAUAACAUUUACAAUCAUUACUCAUCUCAAUCGGUCCAAACCCUAGCCCCUGAUGCCUUUGCCUCUCGACUCGGCCUCUGAAUGCUCCAAAUCUAUCCAAAAGCAUAUUCAUACCAUCAAAAUAUGCUAAGGGAACAAAGCCCAUUCGAAAAUAUUCAAUUUAUACCAAAAAUUCCGAAAUUGGUCAAACCCGGCCCCGGGCCCACGUCUCGGAUUCUGAUAAAAAUAACAAAACUAGAAUCCUUACACUCACUAGUUCAUACAUACCAAGAACAUCCAAAUCGGACAUAUAUGGCCCAUUCAAAUCCCCAAAAGAAUCCUCAAACUUUUCUUUUAUUUUCCCCCAAUUUCCACUCUAAUUUCUCAAAUUAAAUGAUGAAAUUCAAGACUAAAUCAUGGAACUAAACCAAAUAUGAAUAAAGAAUACUUACUCCAAUAGCUCCACUAAAAAUCUCCUCAAAUUUCACCUUCUCCCGAGCUCUCCAAUGGUUUUUGCGAUAUUGAACUUAAACCCUCGAUUUUAAACUUAAACAUUCUGCGCAGAUUUUUCCUUCAUCGUGAUCGCGAAUAUUUUCUCGCGAUCACAAAGCAUAAAAGGAUUACCCCUUAUCUGGCUUAGUUAAAUUGUUUAAUUACUCAUUUUAGAACCUAUGUGCAUUUUACCUUUUACCGCUUUUAAAUAAGAAAUUAUCCUAAAACGAGUUAUGCGUACAUGUACUCAUUUCAUUUGGCGUGUCAUGAAUCAUGUUACACGUACGUGUACACAAUUAAUCACGCUUUAUUAUUAUUAAGACUAUUUUGCCAAAGUCACGCGAACGUGUACUCCGGUUUUAAUUUGGAAAAAUCAUAAUUAUGUUAUGCGAAUGUAUACACAAUCACGAUAAUAAUUUUAAACGUGCCUAAAAGCAUUUUUAUGAUUUUCAAAGAUUAUUUAUAAGCCAUAUUCAAGUCAAAUUGCCUUAAUAAUUCCUCCUUCCCAUCAUAAAUAUAAGAAAGGUAUUACAAGAAGAAAAAGGAAAGUGGGGAGGAGAAGAUAUAAAAAUCAGAAGUUUGCUAUAUUUUUAAUAUGUUCAGUUAUAAUUUAUAAAAUAAGUGAAAUUUUGUGGGCAAUGUCCAAAGAUUGUGAGUAUUUCCUUAGUUUCUCUGCAAGUAAAAAAACUAAGAUACAAAUAGCAACCAGUGUCACAUAAAAAUGCCGCAAGCUACAAUCCCUGGUAACAACAAACAAAGAAGACCUACAAUCACACUACUUAUCAAAAAAAUUCUAAGGGAGGUUGCAUUUUAGUGAUAGCUCACCAGUACAAUCAAAAAUUGUAGUAGCAAUUUUACUUGGCAAUGUUGAUGAUUUUUAUUGAGCAUUUGUGUUCAACUUGAAUAGCAACAAGUUUGUCUACUGUCAUUCUAUAUAGAAAACUCGUCAAAAAGCUAAUUUCAGCAAAACCGAACUUUAAUUUCACUUAAAACCCCAAACAAUCCACUCAUUAACAACUGUAAUUUUCAAAUUCCCAAAAAAACUCUUAAAACUUUUAUUGAACAAUAUAAGACAGUAACAAAUCCAAACUUAAUCUUGCGAAACAAAUAAAUAAUUAGAUUGAGAUAUCUAAGCUCCAUAAAAUGUACUAGAAUGUCAUGCCAUCGAAUAAUUACAAAACAAUUGAUUAACACAGUCAAUGGAUGAACAAACAGUGAAGAGGGGAAAAAAAGAGGACCUGAAGUACUUUCAAUUUUUCAAAGAACCUCCUGCCCGUUUACAAAGAAACUCAGGCCGAUGAAGCUAAACACGGACAGACCCGAACGGAAACCUCAACGAAACAACCUCGAUAUCGACCGCAUCUCAGUCAUGACGAACCCAAAAACGUUUAGCAGUAGAUUCAGCAAUCGAACAAUACUUCUACAGCUCAAAUGUCACUCAAAUUUCAGAAAAUCUUAAGUAUAAGAGUGGAAGUUUGGAUAGCUUUCGAAUCCUCCUUUUUGUCUCUGUUUUGUUUUUUUAAAAGCUCUUUUUGAAUUUCAGAUCUAGACUUGAUUUCUAGAAAUGGUUCCAGUUCUUUAUUGGCUAAAGUGAGAUAUGCAUGAAGGAGUAUUGCGUGUGUGUGUGUGUGUGGUCGUGGUGGUGGGAGGUUGGUUUCCGGCGAGCUCUGGUGAGAAUGGGGAGAAGAAGAGGAAGAUGUGAGGGCUCUUUCUAUCUUCUUUUUGUUCCCGUCAGGUGGAAACGACUGGGUUCGAUUCUCAGAAAAUAGUCGCCGCUGCUUCUCUCUGUCGAAAGAGAUGAGAGCUCAUUUUUUAGUUUUUAGGGUUUUUUUCUUCCUUUUUGCUUCAGCUGCCGCACUGCUCUCUCAAUGAGGGGUUUGGAUGAAGGGUUCUUUU